Molecule: ribosomal RNA, 466 nt
Filed under: uncultured ammonia-oxidizing beta proteobacterium
Lineage: Bacteria; Pseudomonadati; Pseudomonadota; Betaproteobacteria
Description: bacterial SSU rRNA
Rfam family: Bacterial small subunit ribosomal RNA
Source: RNAcentral
GGAGGAAAGUAGGGGAUCGCAAGACCUUGCGCUUUUGGAGUGGCCGAUGCCUGAUUAGCUAGUUGGUGGGGUAAGAGCCUACCAAGGCGACGAUCAGUAGUUGGUCUGAGAGGACGACCAGCCACACCGGGACUGAGACACGGCCCAGACUCCUACGGGAGGCAGCAGUGGGGAAUUUUGGACAAUGGGCGAAAGCCUGAUCCAGCAAUGCCGCGUGAGUGAAGAAGGCCUUCGGGUUGUAAAGCUCUUUCAGUCGAGAAGAAAAGGUCGCGACUAAUAAUCGCGACUCAUGACGGUAUCGACAGAAGAAGCACCGGCUAACUACGUGCCAGCAGCCGCGGUAAUACGUAGGGUGCGAGCGUUAAUCGGAAUUACUGGGCGUAAAGGGUGCGCAGGCGGCUUUGUAAGUCAGAUGUGAAAUCCCCGGGCUUAACCUGGGAAUUGCGUUUGAAACUACAAAGCUAGA